This is an RNA transcript of Eublepharis macularius, 3910 nucleotides long. It is a transcript of the gene named SPNS lysolipid transporter 2, sphingosine-1-phosphate, with no coding region annotated. The transcript has 14 exons. Lineage: Eukaryota; Metazoa; Chordata; Lepidosauria; Squamata; Eublepharidae. The record is from RefSeq and is a predicted model, not a curated record.
CGGCCGGGCAGCAGGUGCCUCCUCCGCCCCGCCGCGUCCCAUGAUGUGCCUGGAGAGCGACGGCGCGUCGGGCGGCGGCCCUGGCGGGCGCCUCCGCGUUGCGGCGGCCGGCGACGACGAGGACGAGGAGGACGGAGGCGGCGGGGAGCGCGGCUGCUGCGGGCGCGGCGGCGAGGUGCAGACCCUCUCCGGCGCCCUCCACGCGCCCGCCGGGGCCAAGAGCGCCGCCAAGGCGGCCGCGGCGCCCAGCCUGGGCAGAGCCCGCGUGGCCGCCGCCGGCAUCCUCAGCGUGGGCAACGUCCUCAACUACCUGGACAGGUACACGGUGGCAGGGGUCUUGUUGGACAUCCAGCAGCAUUUUGGAGUCAAAGACAGCGGAGCCGGUUUGUUGCAAACAGUUUUCAUCUGCAGCUUCAUGGUGGCAGCGCCGAUAUUUGGUUACCUUGGCGACCGUUUCAACCGAAAGAUUAUUCUCAGCUGUGGGAUCUUUUUCUGGUCAGCAAUCACUUUUUCCAGCUCCUUCAUCACUGAGCAGUAUUUCUGGCUGUUCGUCCUCUCUCGAGGCUUGGUUGGCAUCGGUGAAGCCAGCUACUCCACCAUCGCCCCCACCAUCAUUGGAGAUCUCUUCACCAAGAACACACGGACAUUGAUGCUCUCAGUCUUCUAUUUUGCAAUCCCCCUGGGCAGUGGUUUAGGGUAUAUCACCGGAUCAAGCGUCAAGCAAGUCGCUGGUGACUGGCACUGGGCCCUGCGGGUCUCUCCACUUUUAGGAAUGAUCACUGGGACUCUCAUCUUGAUAUUUGUUCCCGCUGCGAAAAGAGGCAACGCUGAACAGCUUGGGGCGCAGCUGAAAGCUCGGUCCUCGUGGCUGCGAGAUAUGAAGGCCCUGAUAAGAAAUCGCAGCUAUGUGUUCUCCUCCCUGGCUACCUCAGCUGUCUCCUUCGCUACGGGGGCUCUGGGUAUGUGGAUCCCCCUCUACCUCCACAGAGCACAGGUGGUCCAGAAAACAGCAGAGACCUGCACCUCGCAACCCUGUGGGACCAAGGACAGUUUGAUUUUUGGAGCCAUCACCUGCUUCACCGGUUUUCUGGGUGUGAUCACUGGGGCUGGGGCUACCAAGUGGUGCCGGUUGAAAACUCAGCGAGCAGACCCUCUUGUGUGCGCCGUGGGAAUGCUGGGCUCAGCCAUCUUCACCUGUCUAAUCUUUGUCGCAGCCAAGAGCAGCAUCGUGGGAGCCUAUGUCUGCAUUUUCAUUGGCGAAACUCUCCUGUUCUCCAACUGGGCCAUUACUGCUGACAUACUGAUGUAUGUGGUCAUCCCGACACGGCGGGCCACAGCUGUGGCUUUGCAGAGCUUCACGUCGCACCUUCUGGGAGAUGCUGGGAGUCCCUACCUGAUCGGAUUUAUCUCCGAUCUGAUACGCCAGAGCACAAAAGAGUCCCCGCUCUGGGAAUUCCUCAGCUUAGGCUACGCUCUCAUGUUGUGCCCUUUUGUCGUCGUCCUGGGAGGGAUGUUUUUCCUCGCUACAGCCCUCUUCUUCCUAAGCGAUAGAGCCAAAGCUGAACAACAUACCGAAACUGAUUUGGAUCACCUUCCUGUUGGCAACUCCAGUAACUCAGAAGAUGCUACCACAUGAUAGCCACAAGAACUUUUUAGGGGGUAAAUCAGCUCAUGAUGCCUCCAUCUUCUGUGAAAGUCUGAGGCGCUGCCUUCUCAGAUGAUGAAGGAGACCUUUUGUGAGCUCUGGCUGCCGCAAGGCAUCGAGAUGACCACCUGCGUGGAGGUCUCCCCCUCUCCAGUCUCUCUGCGGUUGGAGCCGGAGGAAAAUUCAGCUGCAGAACACAUUGGCUGUGGCUACAUGGAGGGCAUAGGUGGGCAUCCUUAACCUGCAUCAGCAAAGGUGGUCCUCACCCCUGCCCCGAGGGAUCCUUCUGGCCGGGAUUGUUUCCCCCGUGCCUCCAGUAGGUGUCACCUGGAAGACUGUGGUACAGCUGGCCUUUCAGCCAAUGGCGAUCCUUGCCUUGUUCCGUGGGGCAAGCUUCCAUCCUGUUUAACACCUGGAUGCCUUUGCCAGCAACUCCAUCUUCAGCCAGAGAUGUUAUCCCAGUUGGAGAAGCCAGCCUCGCCAAAGGAUUGAGCCCCGAUACGUGCUUAUUCAGUCUCCUAAGAUACUCUCUCCCUCUCAGCAGAAGGUGAAAGAAAUGGGACUAGAUGGACUUCUUUUUAAUUAAGGGUGUAUUUGCAUUAACAGUUUACUGCUGGAGCUAUCUUGGACCAGCAAGAGUUUUGUGUUAAAUUUCCAUUAGGAAAUCCUGGAGUAAAUUCAAAUAUAUUGGAGGGGGGGGCGGUGCUUGGGAGUGCGGCUGAUUCUCCAUGCAGAAAGCAUUGGCUGAAGGAGCCGUUUCUCAAAGGUGGCAUCCUCCAUAUUCUCCUGCUCAAUACAAAAGGUUAUGAAAAAGCUGCUACGUUUUCGCCAGCCUCGGGGGGGUAGAGGAGAGAGGGUUGGGAGCCUUAACUUCUUGUUGCUUUCGUUUGGGAUUUGCUGCUGAAGUUUACAGUACAGGAAUAAGAUCAUUGAUUGCUCUUUGAAAACUGUAGGCAUGAGCCACACACAUUCCAAUUUCAGUGAAGGGCAGCUGGCCCGAGACCCACUAGGAAUCCCUCGGUCACCAAACUUCAGUUUUCACCCUUUUCCUUGGCGGGUUUAGUAAGAGAGGAAGACCACAAGCAACAAAAUUCCAUCCUAAGGAAGAUCUCAGUAGGCUGCAUUUGACACCGUCGAACUCAGUAAAACGGUGAGGAUUAGUGGGUUAACGGUACCGAAUUCUAUCUAGCGGGGCUUUGGACGGAUUUUUCUUCAACCACCUCCAUGACAGGUUCUUACUGAGCUCCUGCUUUCUCGUAUUCAGGUUUCGUUCAGUCACCUUUGCUGUUCUCUGAGUGAGGGGUUAUGGAUCAGUCCUAGAACUCUUUAUGUGCGUGCAAAAGGUCCUGGGUUCAGCCGCCAGGUAGGAAAUCUCAGGAAGCAGGUACUGGAAGAGAACUUUCUCUGCCCAAGAUGUAGGAGAGCUGCUUCCAAUUAGAGUAGACAGUACGGAAUUAGACAGACCAACAAUCCGACUGUGUAAAAGACAUCUUCGUGCGUUCAUCUAAUUCACUUUGGCCACUUAUUCCCGGGAAGACUUCUAGACAGUGGGUCUCCUCAAGCUGCUAAUGUAAACACAGUAGUUAGAUCUGUGCGGCUAAUAAAGAUAAGAGAUCGGUGCCAAUCCCUUUUAGGUAACUGAAGCACCUUUUGGAGGUCCUUCCUGUUCAACUUUCAUUGGUGCUACCGUUGCAAAGGAAACUGCCAUCUAAAAGCGCACUAAGAAGUGCAAAAACUAGCAAAGGUAUACCACUACUACCUAGGGGGAAAAGUCAGAUGUGAAGACUUUAAAAACUGGGCAGAAAUGCAAUGAAGAGUUGGAUUAUCUGAACCUCAGCCACAGAAAAGCGUCAGAAGAAUGAACGAUCGUUGUAUAAACAUACAUAUCAAAGAGUAUCCCUGCAACCUGGGAAGAUAAAAUGUUUCCUCCCCUUCCCCAUCUUUUCCUCCACCCAUAAAUAUUAGAUUUAUCUCUUGCUCUGCGGUUUCCAUAAAGCGAGACUUAACAAUCACUUUGAUAACGUGAAGGAAUGGGGAGCAUUAAUGUAUGUUUUCUUGUUAUACAAGGAAGGACUCAAUCGUUUUCUGAUUUCUUUCAGAAGCAAGAAUAUAUAUAUAUUCAAAUGGCUAUUUUAUUUUUUAAGAGCAAUGAAAUGGAUUGUGAAUCUCAGAGUAUAAGAAAGAAAUAGUCCAGUAUAUAUAUACAUAUAUAUUAAAAAUAUAGACGUUUAUGUAAAUUAAGAAAUAAAAAAUAUUUAAACACAA